This 448-nucleotide ribosomal RNA is filed under the name uncultured bacterium. Its description in RNAcentral is "bacterial SSU rRNA". It matches the Rfam family "Bacterial small subunit ribosomal RNA", at positions 329 to 794 of the family's 1533-position model. The record is from RNAcentral.
UGCCAGACUCCUACGGGAGGCAGCAGUGGGGAAUAUUGCACAAUGGGGGAAACCCUGAUGCAGCAACGCCGCGUGAGUGAAGAAGUAUUUCGGUAUGUAAAGCUCUAUCAGCAGGGAAGAGAAUGACGGUACCUGACUAAGAAGCCCCGGCUAACUACGUGCCAGCAGCCGCGGUAAUACGUAGGGGGCGAGCGUUAUCCGGAUUCACUGGGUGUAAAGGGAGCGUAGACGGCCAUGCAAGCCAGGGGUGAACGCCCGGGGCCCAGCCCCGGGACUGCCCUUGGAACUGCAUGGCUGGAGUGCGGGAGGGGCAGGCGGAAUUCCUGGUGUAGCGGUGAAAUGCGUAGAUAUCAGGAGGAACACCGGCGGCGAAGGCGGCCUGCUGGACUGCGACUGACGUUGAGGCUCGAAAGCGUGGGGAGCGAACAGGAUUAGAUACCCCGGUAAA